AGCAAGCAUUGGAUGAAUCUUCCUCUGGACUUGUUGGCAAAUUGAGUCAUUAUCCGUGGAAGAGGAAAAAGGAAGAGACAGUAGAGAAGAAUGUGAGAAAGUUUAUUUACGUUAGUUGAAUGUGGAAGCUGAGAAGAAUGUGAAACACUUCCCUUGAAAUCCAUACCUGUCAUAGAGUUGAUCCUUCGUACUCUUUACUUUCGUCCCUUGCUCAUGCUGAUGUACCUUACAGAAUAUGUUGAACUGAAUCCUGUCGUGCACCCUGUUGAAAUUUUACUAUGAACUUAGUACAUCUUGUUUUGAAAAUACCAAACUCAAUACCUUCCUUCAGCUCACUGCACUUCUCUAUAUUUAUUGAGACUGUUUUACUGAUUUGUUGACAUCAAAAGCUCUUCCAUUAAACGUAAAUUUGCUCCUAAUUGUCCAUAGAAACCGGAUUGUAGAAUAAGGUAGAAUACAUCACAUCUUAUGUUCAAGUUACCUGUUAAAAACAACAAACAUACAGCAAGUAAAACCUAAUCCUCCAAAAGCUUGACAUAAUAUAAAUCAAUUGGUUUUCUCAACAACUUAUCUGCAUGCAAGGUAAAUAGAGUGACACUAUUUAUUCACAAUAGCACACUCUAACUUGUAUAAACUUGCACAAUUUUUUUUGCUUAAAAAAACACAUUCUGUACUCUCUUUAUAUGGUGAGGUAAACAAAGCAAACUUACAAUUUAAACAAUAAAAAUUUCAAAUCAAUCACAUUUUUUCUUCAAGGGGGGUGGGGGGGGGGGGGAUCGAUGACAAUCAAAUCCCAUAAGCAACAACAUAAAUGAAUGAAACUAAGUUGAAUACUCCGCACUAACCCAAACUUAAUCAGAACAUCAUGAUUAGAAGCAUAAUCAAUUUCCACUACCACCAAUUGGCUAUCUGUCAAUUUUAAAGCACCUUGAAAAGGCAUGCUUAUAACAAUGAUAAAUUUGGAUAAAAGACAGAAAUUUGAAUAUCUAAGAUUUUGAAAAUGUUACCAAGAAGCGAAAACUAAAUCCUGGCAAUCCUUACUAAUAUUAAUAAGUACAAAUACCAAUUCUCAAGCUAAAAACGCCAAAUUCAUGCUUUAGAAAUUAGCAUUCAAUAGAUAAUCUAUAUUCCAUGAUCAACCUAAAUAAAGCGUAUUUUUAAAUCAAUAAUGGCCAACACAAAUUUGGAAAAUGUUCAAUGUUAAGAAUUGGAAAGGUGAGAUGACAUUAAGGUUAGUCUUAAAGAAAAAAAUUAGUCAUUACAAACCUGUUUCUUCUUUAAAUCUGCAUCAUCCAUGAAGGUUUGUUUGUUUUUUUUUUUUUUAUUAGAAGGAUCAUCCAUGGAAGUUAAAAAACCCUUACAGCUCCAAAUGUGACCUGCAACUUGUAAGCAAGUUUUGAAAAUAAAAAUCUCUCCAUAGGAAAAGAAUAAAAAGAAAAAAAAAUCAACUCCAAAAUAUAAUACCAAUCCCCUAAGAACAGAAACAGCAAACCGAGAUCUAGUUAGAUCUUCUUAGUUGUCACUUCUUCAUCCAGGUCCCCAUCCUCACCUGCAUCAAAGCUGAAUUGAUUUUGAUAAACUAAAAAAAACUAAAAAAACUAAAAUCAAAAGUUUCAAUGAACUAAGGCGAAUUUUAGGAAAAAUUAUUUCAAUCCAAUUUCUAAACAAUUCAACUUACCUGAGAGCUUCAAUUGAUUGAAAAUCUCUGUAACCAUUUGUAACCAAAAUGUCACACAACAACGAUUUAUUUUCAAUUGAUAGAGAACCUGCAAAAUUUAUCUUUUCUUAAACAAAACUUCUAGAAGUUAACAAACACAACACAAAAUGUACUAUAAAUUGAAGAGAUAGAUAGAAAGAAAACAUAGGAGAUGAAGGAUUGAGGAACAUAUAUUUGAUUCUAUUCUAGUCGGUUUCUUUGUGCGAUUGACUUUGCAUAAGCAUAAGGAAUACAAUUUUUGUGAUUGUGGAUGCUGAAUGCUGGAUACUUAAUGCUGGAUGCUGAACACUGAAUGCUGGAAAAGUUGUUUGGUUAUCAUUUUUAAGAAGUUCUGUUUUUGAUUUGUUUGUUUAUGCGUAAGUGUGAUUUUGACCAUGUUACCCUAUUAUUGGAAAAGUAUUUUGACAAUACACAGUACCUUAUCACAUAACCCAAAAACCUAAAGUUGAUUUGUACUCUGGUUGCGCAAGUUGACCAUUCAGUGUUGUGCUUCAGAUGAGAAUGUUUCACCCUUAGCCAAAAUAUUUGUGUAACUACACUAUAUUGUUACGUCAUACAAACAGAAAAAUUUUCUAACAACAAAACUAUACACGCCAAUUUUUCUUCUAAAACAUGAUAUUUAAAAAAAAAAUCUUAACCUUUUAAACGGCUCGUCUAAAAAUUCUAAAUUUUGGAUAUGGUACAACAGAAAUCGUCAUGAACAUAUGGAAAAUAUUUCAAAGUGAACAGACAAAGGAAAGAUCCCUUACUAAGCAAACGAAUCUGACUGUAAUUUUUCUUCUAAAACAUGACAAUCACAAAAAAAUCUGUAACUUUCAAACGACUCGUUUAAAAAUUCCAAAUUUUGGAUAUGAUACAAUAGAAAUCGUCAGGAACAUAUAGUAAAACUUUUAAAGUGAUCAGACAAAAGAAAGUCUCCUUAUUAAGCAAACGAAUCUGACUGUAACAUAAUUUUUCUUGUAAAACAUAACAACCACAAAAAAAUCUGUAACUUUCAAACCGAUCGUCUAAAAAUUCUAAAUUUUAGAUAUGAUAUAACAGAAAUCUUCAGGAACUUAUGGUAAGAAUUUCAAAGUGAUCAGACAAAGGAAAGGCCAUUAACGAAGCCAAUGAAUCUGACUGUGAUAUUACUUAAUGGUUAUGGAUGAUAAAAACAAUUUUUAUAAGGGUAGAAUUGUCUAAAUAAUACAACAAGCAUUAAGAAGUUAAAUUAAAGCUGGGCCAAAAUCGCUGAAAUAUCCCAAUUAGUUCUUAAUGCUUGUUCUAAAGAAACAACUUAAAAAACACUUAUUUCUAAAUUUUAACAUGGUCCACCACUUAAGAAGCACUUAAUGCUUAAUGAAACAAACACUACCUCAGUUUGAUGACUUUGAACAACUGUUGUCGCUGAAUCUGAGUAACAAAAUUAUGCUGUCGAAGGUGGAAAAACUGAAAUUAAAAGUCAAACCUAGUGAAAUAUUCCUGCAAGAGUAAUAAAAUUAAAUAUUAAAAUUCUAAACGUUCAUCCCCAAAUCAGUCAGGAACACAACUAAAUAAGAAGCCUUAACAAAAACCAAACGGGAAAACACAAACCUGAUCAAUCGAAGAACCCAUCUACAUGAUGAUCUUUAAUUGAUUAUUGAUUAAGUAGUAAUUCCAAAACCAGUUGGGGAGAAGAAUAGAACGAAAUAUCCAAAUUGAAAGAACUUUCACUAUUAUUAUUAUUAUUAUUCAUUUUGAAACAAAACCCAAUUAAAUGAAGCUAUAAAUCUUCACAUACCUAAAAACUUCCAUGCGCCAAACCAGAGAAACAAAUAACGUUCGGUCUCUGUAAAUUUAGAGAUGAGUCGGUUGGGGAGAGAGACACGUGUAAGAAUUUUAGGUCGUUUGAGUUUGACUGUUCUUCUGUUUUGCAGAAUGACUGUGUUAAAGCAGAAAACUACAUUGCAAGAAAAGG
Molecule: long non-coding RNA, 3653 nt
Filed under: Aquilegia coerulea
Lineage: Eukaryota; Viridiplantae; Streptophyta; Magnoliopsida; Ranunculales; Ranunculaceae
Description: long non-coding RNA (ACOE_LNC002108)
Source: RNAcentral